This 415-nucleotide ribosomal RNA is filed under the name uncultured Glomus. RNAcentral describes it as "SSU rRNA". It matches the Rfam family "Eukaryotic small subunit ribosomal RNA", at positions 569 to 989 of the family's 1831-position model. Lineage: Eukaryota; Fungi; Glomeromycota; Glomeromycetes; Glomerales; Glomeraceae. The record is from RNAcentral.
AGCAGCCGCGGUAAUUCCAGCUCCAAUAGCGUAUAUUAAAGUUGUUGCAGUUAAAAAGCUCGUAGUUGAAUUUCGGGGUUAGCAAGUUGGUCGUGCCUUUGGUAUGCACUGGCUCUGCUGAUUCCUCCUUCUUGAAGAACUGUGAUGCUAUUAAUUUGGUGUUGCAGGGAAACAGGACUGUUACUUUGAAAAAUUAGAGUGUUUAAAGCAGGCUAACGCUUGAAUACAUUAGCAUGGAAUAAUGAAAUAGGACGUUUGAUCCUAUUUUGUUGGUUUCUAGGAUUGACGUAAUGAUUAAUAGGGAUAGUUGGGGGCAUUAGUAUUCAAUUGUCAGAGGUGAAAUUCUUGGAUUUAUUGGAGACUAACUACUGCGAAAGCAUUUGCCAAGGAUGUUUUCAUUAAUCAAGAACGAAAG